RNAcentral lists this small RNA (18 nucleotides) under Arabidopsis thaliana (thale cress). RNAcentral describes it as "ATSL283830". Lineage: Eukaryota; Viridiplantae; Streptophyta; Magnoliopsida; Brassicales; Brassicaceae. The record is from RNAcentral.
UUCUUCCACUUCUUUUUC